Long non-coding RNA from Notothenia coriiceps (black rockcod), 169 nucleotides. RefSeq lists it as uncharacterized. The record is from RefSeq and is a predicted model, not a curated record. The transcript has 3 exons. NCBI's taxonomy places the organism in Eukaryota, Metazoa, Chordata, Actinopteri, Perciformes, Nototheniidae.
GCAGGGCGAGUGUCUCAGUACCUGAGCGGAGCGGCUGUCUCUCACCUGUGUCCCAUAUCAGAGGCCAUGCUGACCUGCAAACACAAGAGCCCCGACGACGACUACUGUCAGAAGUUUGUUCCUUUUAUCGGGGUGGUGAAGGUUGGCAUCGUGGAGCAGAACCUCCGCU